Molecule: long non-coding RNA, 567 nt
Organism: Homo sapiens (human)
Lineage: Eukaryota; Metazoa; Chordata; Mammalia; Primates; Hominidae
Source: Ensembl
UUUGAAAUUUCUGCCAGUUGGGUGGUGUCUGCGGCUGCUGCUGGGAAAAUGGGGAGUAGAGGCUUGCAGGUAGAUCAGCUGGAAUACAUGGCACAGGUGACACUGGAAUCCCUGACCUGCUAAUGAAUGAAAACAGGGCCUGAUGUCCACUGAGUUGAGCAACAGGGCCUUUGUUACUGCAAGGACGUUGUCCCCACCUCCGGCUGUGUUAGGAUCACAGAACACCUGUCACCAGGGAACAGAGCUUUUUCGCAGGUCCCUGAUGUUUGUAGCUGUGUGACCUUAGUCAACACGCUCAGCCUCUCUGAAAUGCAACAUCUGGGGGAAAAAAUGAAAGAAAAAUGAAGCAAAAAGAAGAAGAAGAAGAAGGAGGAGGAGGAAGAGGAGAAAGCAAAGUGAUGAGGUGGAGAAUGGACACUCUCUCUCCCUUCUGGCCACAACUCAAUUCCCCCAGGCUGUCUAAGUGCAUCCUACUUCUCCUUUGUCACAUUCAUCAGUCAUCACGUCACACUCAUUGUGAAGUAUUCUCAUUAUCAUUGCGUCUUGCAUGCCAGUAGACUGAAAGCU